CUUGUUUUUCAGAAUUAGAGCCACCUGCUGUAAUGUAGAGGGAGCUACUGAGCAACAGCUGCUGGUAAAAAGGAGUAGAAAGAAGGUUAAACUAGUGAGAACUGUAGAAGUCUCAGUUAUAAGCUCCAAAACAGCAGUAUGGAUCAUGCAGGUCGGUGGUCUGUGCUCCAGCUGGUGAGUUUUUACUUCGUCCUUCACAAUGCUGUUAUUUUGUGCCUCCUUCUCUUCCUCUAACAUGAUAAGAGCCAUAUGGGAAGGAGAUUGUAUCUUGAUGAUCGGACCAAGUCUUUCAUCAUUCUCUAGCAUGCUUCCCUUACAACCAAGAUCCAGUGGUGCAUGGCCGGACCUUGACUGAGCACAAUAAUUAUGAAGAGUUAGCCUGGUGUGAGUUGAAGGUCAUGAAUAUUGCAUGCGGUGAUGAUAGCUUGUGCUUUAAUUUGGAAGUUACUGUUUGUCUUGUUGAUUGGUAAGAAUCAAAAUCUCACAAAUUGCAUAGAUCUUAGAAAAAGUGAAAAGUAUAACUUCAAAAAAAAAAAUCACUCCUUAUUUCUGAAGUGAUUCUUCUCUGAAUAAGUUAAACCCUGCUUGCUAUGAAAAAAAAAAUACACUUUAAACUGAGGAUGGUUAAGGAAUUUGAAUCUGCAGUUUCUAAAGAAGUUGGCUGAAGGAGGCCUCUGGCCUUGUAUGUUCAUUUUGAAUAAAUCUUGGAAAAUUAUUAUACCAUCUAGGUUUUCUUUUUAAGAAAAGUGGAGUAAAUGUGGCACCUAUAGGUCAGUUAGCAUGUGCCAGUUCUAGGCAAAAAGAUUGGAUAUUCAUGGUGGGAUCCCAUUGGAAAUCCCCUUGGAAAUACCCAGGUAACUGGAGUAACCUCAUGUGGGUCUAUCAGAAAAUAGAUCUUUAUAAAUAAUCUUUGACAAAAAUAGCUGUAAUAUAAUAGUGUAUUGUUAAUUAAGAUAUAGCAUUCAUAUUAUCCCUACAAUAUAUGUUAAAUGGAUAUAGAACUGAUUAAGUAUCAGAUAAUAAUCACUGAAAGGAAAUGUUUCUAUGAGGGUUGUGGGGAAUUGUUCUGGGUUAAUGCAGUUCCAAAAUUUUAGUAAUGAAACAAUGGGUAAAAUUUGUGGAUAAUUAAAAAAAGAAAUUAUGUUGUGAUCACUAAUGAAGACAGGAAUGACGACACCAAGCCAUAAUUAUAGUAUUGUACUAAGUUAGGUCUUCGGAAACAGAGUAUGUUCUAGUACAGUCAAGUGGAAAGCAAUAAAGGAGUUCUGUUCAAAUUGCUCAAAUUUAUAAUUUGUGGUACUGCAUUUUUAGAAAGCAGUUUCUGUUUGCAGUGACCUGGUAUGGCUGUGAAUGCAUGAAGAGAAAUUUAAAACAAAAAGAAAAAAAAAAAAGGUAGCAAAAGCCUCUUUUUUUCUGACAGAGGGAAACAUCAUACUAACCAGUAGCAAGAAGUGAAAAUUAGAAUAAUCUAAGUGAGAGUUCAUUUCAGUAGUGAGCAUGACAUCCACAAUGGGAGGAAGGGAUGACUUUUUGUUACUUGUUCUGUUAAGUACCCCAAAUUAGUUCUAUAGUGAACCCACUACAGAGUGAAAAAUAAACAAUGCUCCCUGCCAAAAACAAGCCAAAACCAAACAAAUAACCCUAUGACUUCUAGGUGACCAAGACUUACUACAUUUUAAAGCUUAGGUCUCAGAUAUAUGAAUCUGUCAGGCAAACUUUCUAAGAGGCUUUUUCCUGGCUGAGUCACUUCUGACAGUGAUGCCUUUUUUCCAUUUAAUUAGGAGUCUCUUACACUACCUUAUGCAGAGAGAGUUUUGAAGUAUGUUUAUUUUCUAAUGUAUUUAUCACAGGUUGUCUGAUAGUCCAGCUUUUACGAAAAGUGCUUGUCUUCUACAUUUAAUUUAAAAGUACUUUCAGAGGGAGGAGCCUGUGCUGCUUCAGAAGGUGCACCUCUGCUGAUUUACAGAGCUUUAAGAAUCAUCCAUACUCUGAUGGGUAAAAUUGGCAAAAUUUAAGUUUGUAGAUGUACUGUGCCAGGUGAAAAAUGAUAUCUGCAUUGUUAUAUAAGAUGUCCCCGAUAGCAAUGUAACUCCCACAGGAAAAACUGUAAGCUGUCAAGUAACUCAAGAGUGGUGAUGUAAGUUCUCCCUUUAAAUUAAUGAUACUGAGAUAUUGGAAAUAAAGAACUGUAGUUGGACUGGUGAAGUAGCAAACUUUCCCAAAAGAAAACAGUAAAAUGUAUAUAUUUUUAAAGGUACUUGUAGCUGAUCACUUUUUUUCCACAAAACUCAAGAUUAUCUACUUUAUCAUUUAAGUAACUGCUCUCCUUUCCAAAUUUGUUCUCUACAGUAUCAGUGGUGUUUUUUUUUUUUUUUCUUGAAUUGUGAAGUAACACAAGUAUGUUAUUAAAUUACAUAUUUUCUGAAGACUUGUGGUAGGAGCAGUAUUAUUUGUAUCCAUUUGGGGUUCUGCUCUAGAACUGGAGUGCUCCGAAGUGCUGCCCAAGUGCAAAUAAAUAAAUGCCAGCGUUUCACAUACAGUGUAACUAUCGAGCUAUAGUAGUAGAAAAUGCCAGAUGAUUUUGUAAGCAUGCUGUAUUUGAAAGCCCAGGUUCUGCAAACAUGUAGGCUGAAGUAGUGGAACUGCUCAGGAAGAAAAUGAAGGCUGUCGGUAAUGCAGGGUUACGUUGUGAUGUAUUUAGGUCUCAGGCAGAGACAGGAUUUUGCAAAGAAAGCUGAAGUUAAAACUCACUUCCUGUACUCCUUCCUAAGCAAACAUUAAUGGUAAUAUUUGUAACUACUAACCUGUAAAACUGAGAAGCUGACACGGAUGCAAUAAUAAUUAAAAAAUAUAUAAUAAUUUUCAUACUGUUGUGAAAUGUACUUAAUAAAGUGUGCUAGGAAUUGAAGCUGACCUGAACCUCAGAAGAGUUUUUCUCUUGAGAUUAGAAAGCCAGGUUUUAUUAGAAUAAAACCGUUGUGGUUUUAACUAGGGCAAUCUCAGGAAUGAUGAACAAAGAAGGUAGAAAGGAGUUGGCAGUAUCUCCGCUUCUGCCUGUUGUGUCCUCGCAGGUGAGUCCUUGGUUCCACUUAAUUCAGCAUCUGCCUGAGUUACAGUGACCUGUCUCAUGUCUACGUGACACCAAAAGCCUCACAAGACUUUCAGUACUCGCUGUGUCCCCUGCCUGAGCUGUGAGCUUCUUGCUCUGACUCUAACAGGAAAUACACCCGGCGUGCUCUGACCUUCCUCUCUUCCAGCCCAGUUUGGAGCAUCUCAGAGAAGGAAGAUUUCCCUCCCUCGUUUGGAGUGUGUGGGGAAAGUCACUCAGUUUUUUAAAAGAACACAGCAUAGAAUUCGGAACAUAAUAAACACUGUGCUUUCUGAAAGUAAAUUAUUUUUGUCUUGCUUGUGGCUAUUUGGUGUCUUUGAGAAGCUGACUGUUGUUAGGUGUAUGUGAGGGGCAAGAGCUCUAAGACUGUAAAAAUGGGGGCUUGGUAUUGAGUUCUAGUCAGCUCCAGACUACGCUGCUGAUAAAGGGGGCACAGAGGAAUUCAGAGUCUAGUGCAGAAGGAAGACCACACAGCUUCUUCUCCAGGUCUCUCCACUUCAAUCCAGUGAUAGUAUCUUCUAGUGAUAUAAUUUGUACAUGUAUUAUCUUUGUAGCUACAAGGAGUGUAAAUAUAGGAAGAGUAUUUGCUAUGUUAAAACUUUUGUACGCUCUUUUGGGCAGCUAAGGAAUACAAUGUCUGUUUUGACAUUGUACAAACAAACAGUUUUGAGUAGUUGAAGUAAGUACCCAUCCAACAUCGUGACUGACUCAUCGCAGAGAUCAACACGUUUUAAGAAAGCAAUUCUACUUGUUUUUUGAUCUUUCAGUAGAUGAGAAUGUUAUCUUUUUUUCUACCUCUCUGAAGAUUGCAUUGAAAUAGAUUUAUCCAUUGUGAAACAUGAAAGAUUUAGAAUAGAUGCAGGUAAUAGGGAAAAUAAGUAUCUUUCUUGUGGAAUCUGACCCUGAAUCUAGGGUAUGUUUUAGUACUUCCUAUUUUCUUUGGAUUUUGAUUGCCUGAAGUGAUUAGCCCCGAGUUUGCCUCCAGAUGUUAGCAGGCCCUCUUACAGGAAUGAGGCUAGGCAUCAAAUACACGUGUAGAAGCAGCUCUAGAUUUACUUACAUUUUUGUAGCUAUGUUUUUUUUCAUGCAGAUUCUUACGUAUGAGCUAAGCUCGUAGGAAUCCUCCGCGUAUACAAAUAAAAGCUUUGGAUUUGGAAUGUAGCAGUUGCUGACCCAUAUGAGUAGGUCAUGCAAGCUUCAUUCUAAACUAAAGGUUGAUUUAAAUCUUAAGGUACAAUUUCUCCAAAUGCCAUAAUUUUAGUCAUACUUGCAUGUACUCAGGGGUUUUCUUUUUGUUUAUAUAAAUGUUCAUCCCUCUUUAACCUUUAACCACAUAGCCAAAUGUAAAUGUUUCCUUGUAGCAGCAACUUCCAAAUGUAUUGUUUUACUUUGUUUUCCCUUGCUUUUAUGGUUAGAUUUGGGAAAACAGAAGCCUUCAAUGUGACUGUUCUAUUAUUAUUAUUAUUAUUAUUAUUAUUUUGUGGUACUAAGGAAGCUGGUCUUUUUUGGUCAUUCUUCUUUUUUCCCUCCUUCUCCUUUCUUGAGAUUUUUCAUUAUUCAGAUAACUUGUUGCCACCCUUCUUUGCACUUCCCACUUUGCACUUGCAGUUUCUGCAGAGAUUGGUUGGUAGGAAAAUGAUAGCAUAGAAUUUAUCUCUGGACAGUAGGAUAGGUGGAGAUAACAGCGUAACUCCUCUUUAGCCCUGUUGAUAUGAAUACUAAUUCUCCAUUUUAGUUGCAUCUUCUUAUGACACCCAGGUCCGCCUCCUAACCUAGUACAAUAUCUUUUAAACCCUGUAGGGUAUAGUUUUCAUCAAUUUUCUUUGUCUUCCCAUAAAAUCAUCCGGCAUGAACUUGAUCUGCUUUUGUAAUAUUGAGU
Molecule: long non-coding RNA, 4988 nt
Organism: Numida meleagris (helmeted guineafowl)
Lineage: Eukaryota; Metazoa; Chordata; Aves; Galliformes; Numididae
Exons: 3
Source: RefSeq, a predicted model, not a curated record